Molecule: ribosomal RNA, 2078 nt
Filed under: Salmonella enterica
Lineage: Bacteria; Pseudomonadati; Pseudomonadota; Gammaproteobacteria; Enterobacterales; Enterobacteriaceae
Description: partial 23S ribosomal RNA
Rfam family: Bacterial large subunit ribosomal RNA
Source: RNAcentral
UAGCGCCUCGUGAAUUCAUCUCCGGGGGUAGAGCACUGUUUCGGCUAGGGGGCCAUCCCGGCUUACCAACCCGAUGCAAACUGCGAAUACCGGAGAAUGUUAUCACGGGAGACACACGGCGGGUGCUAACGUCCGUCGUGAAGAGGGAAACAACCCAGACCGCCAGCUAAGGUCCCAAAGUCAUGGUUAAGUGGGAAACGAUGUGGGAAGGCCCAGACAGCCAGGAUGUUGGCUUAGAAGCAGCCAUCAUUUAAAGAAAGCGUAAUAGCUCACUGGUCGAGUCGGCCUGCGCGGAAGAUGUAACGGGGCUAAACCAUGCACCGAAGCUGCGGCAGCGACGCUGAUGCGUUGUUGGGUAGGGGAGCGUUCUGUAAGCCUGCGAAGGUGGCCUGUGAGGGUUGCUGGAGGUAUCAGAAGUGCGAAUGCUGACAUAAGUAACGAUAAAGCGGGUGAAAAGCCCGCUCGCCGGAAGACCAAGGGUUCCUGUCCAACGUUAAUCGGGGCAGGGUGAGUCGACCCCUAAGGCGAGGCCGAAAGGCGUAGUCGAUGGGAAACGGGUUAAUAUUCCCGUACUUGGUGUUACUGCGAAGGGGGGACGGAGAAGGCUAUGUUGGCCGGGCGACGGUUGUCCCGGUUUAAGCGUGUAGGUGUGUGUUCCAGGUAAAUCCGGUUCACUUUAACACUGAGGCGUGAUGACGAGGCACUACGGUGCUGAAGCAACAAAUGCCCUGCUUCCAGGAAAAGCCUCUAAGCAUCAGGUAACAUCAAAUCGUACCCCAAACCGACACAGGUGGUCAGGUAGAGAAUACCAAGGCGCUUGAGAGAACUCGGGUGAAGGAACUAGGCAAAAUGGUGCCGUAACUUCGGGAGAAGGCACGCUGACACGUAGGUGAAGUGAUUUACUCAUGGAGCUGAAGUCAGUCGAAGAUACCAGCUGGCUGCAACUGUUUAUUAAAAACACAGCACUGUGCAAACACGAAAGUGGACGUAUACGGUGUGACGCCUGCCCGGUGCCGGAAGGUUAAUUGAUGGGGUCAGCGCAAGCGAAGCUCCUGAUCGAAGCCCCGGUAAACGGCGGCCGUAACUAUAACGGUCCUAAGGUAGCGAAAUUCCUUGUCGGGUAAGUUCCGACCUGCACGAAUGGCGUAAUGAUGGCCAGGCUGUCUCCACCCGAGACUCAGUGAAAUUGAACUCGCUGUGAAGAUGCAGUGUACCCGCGGCAAGACGGAAAGACCCCGUGAACCUUUACUAUAGCUUGACACUGAACAUUGAGCCUUGAUGUGUAGGAUAGGUGGGAGGCUUUGAAGUGUGGACGCCAGUCUGCAUGGAGCCGGCCUUGAAAUACCACCCUUUAAUGUUUGAUGUUCUAACGUGGACCCGUGAUCCGGGUUGCGGACAGUGUCUGGUGGGUAGUUUGACUGGGGCGGUCUCCUCCUAAAGAGUAACGGAGGAGCACGAAGGUUGGCUAAUCCUGGUCGGACAUCAGGAGGUUAGUGCAAUGGCAUAAGCCAGCUUGACUGCGAGCGUGACGGCGCGAGCAGGUGCGAAAGCAGGUCAUAGUGAUCCGGUGGUUCUGAAUGGAAGGGCCAUCGCUCAACGGAUAAAAGGUACUCCGGGGAUAACAGGCUGAUACCGCCCAAGAGUUCAUAUCGACGGCGGUGUUUGGCACCUCGAUGUCGGCUCAUCACAUCCUGGGGCUGAAGUAGGUCCCAAGGGUAUGGCUGUUCGCCAUUUAAAGUGGUACGCGAGCUGGGUUUAGAACGUCGUGAGACAGUUCGGUCCCUAUCUGCCGUGGGCGCUGGAGAACUGAGGGGGGCUGCUCCUAGUACGAGAGGACCGGAGUGGACGCAUCACUGGUGUUCGGGUUGUCAUGCCAAUGGCACUGCCCGGUAGCUAAAUGCGGAAGAGAUAAGUGCUGAAAGCAUCUAAGCACGAAACUUGCCCCGAGAUGAGUUCUCCCUGAGACUUAGAGUCUCCUGAAGGAACGUUGAAGACGACGACGUUGAUAGGCCGGGUGUGUAAGCGCAGCGAUGCGUUGAGCUAACCGGUACUAAUGAACCGUGAGGCUUAACCUUACA